GGUUCGUGGUGUGAAUUGUCUGCUUAAUUGCGAUAACGAACGAGAUCACUCCCGAUCAAUAGGUGGCUCCUCGACCAGUAGGAUUCGUACCUCAACGGUUGAUUCCGAGAGGAAGCAUACUUCUUACAGGUACUGCGUACGUAUUGUAGUACGCGGACGAUUGUGGCAAUAGCAGG
RNAcentral lists this ribosomal RNA (176 nucleotides) under uncultured eukaryote. RNAcentral describes it as "partial small subunit ribosomal RNA". It matches the Rfam family "Eukaryotic small subunit ribosomal RNA", at positions 1296 to 1460 of the family's 1831-position model. The record is from RNAcentral.